RNAcentral lists this ribosomal RNA (238 nucleotides) under uncultured bacterium. RNAcentral's name for it is "partial 16S ribosomal RNA". It matches the Rfam family "Bacterial small subunit ribosomal RNA", at positions 96 to 334 of the family's 1533-position model. The record is from RNAcentral.
UGGCGGACGGGUGAGUAACGCGUGGGUAACCUGCCUCACACUGGGGGAUAACAGUUAGAAAUAGCUGCUAAUACCGCAUAAGCGCACAGUUCCGCAUGGAACGGUGUGAAAAACUCCGGUGGUGUGAGAUGGACCCGCGUCUGAUUAGCCAGUUGGCGGGGUAACGGCCCACCAAAGCGACGAUCAGUAGCCGGCCUGAGAGGGUGAACGGCCACAUUGGGACUGAGACACGGCCCAA